UCUGCCUAUUGCAACCUCCGUAUGUCUACGCGUGGAGUCCAUCUACCACGUACCGCCCCUUCCUGAGCUCCAGGGGUACAAGUAACAUUGUAGCCGACCUUAUUACCACCGUCCUCCGCUCCUAACCUCGCGCGUCCACUCCCAUCGUGGACACCGCCGCUUAUCCUGCUCACUGUGCCACUCCAAACGUCCAUAUGCCGUCACUAUUUCGACGCAAGCAUCCUCAAUCUUCCCGAUCUCUCUCAUGCCCAGGACUUGCUAAUAUGUAUUUUGGGUCCCGUCUAAUUAUUUCGAAACAUAGCAACCAAUCUUUGUGUCUCUUCAUAAUUUAUUUUCUCUCUUGCACUAGCACAUCAAGGUUGCUCUACGCCGACUUUAUAUCAUGGUUUGGUCGGGUGCACACUUCACAUACGUACAAAUUUUCACCGAGUAAAUGCUACUCAUUCUAAAAUCAGGAAAAAUAUAUUUCAUUAUUUUGCAUAUCCGGAAAAUAACUUUAGGGUGUAGAUACAUUUAUUUUGCUCCGUAUUUAGUACGUAAUGAAAUCUCUAAAAAGACUUAGAUUUAGGAACGGAGCUAGUAGAAGAGUGGCUAGAAACACACAUGGCUAGUGUUGGAGCAGUAACCUAAGAUUGAUUUCUUCGUGAAUAAAUGCACCUCUCUUUCCAUCGAAUACUUCUGCAGCAAGCUUGGGACAUUAUAGAAGAACAUCUAAACAUAUACAGAUUAGACAAUAACUUUCGUUGAACAAAUUGUAAUAUGAACCAAAUACUCAUACUAUUUAAGACUACGUUAUCCUGGCUAGGACCUUUUUCAUGUAUGCAACAACCACUUCAUUGACAUUAGAAGACGAAGAAACUAAUUUCAAGCCUUGUUGAAUUAUCACCAACAAACUGUUUUGUCAUCCUGAUUUCGCAUUGCGCUAGUUAUAGACUCGUCUUGAAGUUUUCUAAACACCGUCUUUCAAGAUUAAAAACUUCUUUAGACCAAG
Molecule: long non-coding RNA, 991 nt
Filed under: Hordeum vulgare
Lineage: Eukaryota; Viridiplantae; Streptophyta; Magnoliopsida; Poales; Poaceae
Description: long non-coding RNA (HVUL_LNC017585)
Source: RNAcentral